UGGGGAAUAUUGGACAAUGGGCGCAAGCCUGAUCCAGCCAUGCCGCGUGAGUGAAGAAGGCCUUAGGGUUGUAAAACUCUUUCGCCGGGGAAGAUAAUGACGGUACCCGGAGAAGAAGCUCCGGCUAACUUCGUGCCAGCAGCCGCGGUAAUACGAAGGGAGCUAGCGUUGUUCGGAAUUACUGGGCGUAAAGCGCACGUAGGCGGACUUGUCAGUCAGGGGUGAAAUCCCAAGGCUCAACCUUGGAACUGCCUCCGAUACAGCAAGCCUAGAGAUCGGGAGAGGUGAGUGGAAUUCCUAGUGUAGAGGUGAAAUUCGUAGAUAUUAGGAAGAACACCGGUGGCGAAGGCGGCUCACUGGUCCGGUACUGACACUGAGGUGCGAAAGCGUGGGGAGCAAACAGGAUUAGAUACCCACGUAGUCCCUGAGCGGGCUGGCAAGGCGCAU
This 447-nucleotide ribosomal RNA is filed under the name uncultured bacterium. RNAcentral describes it as "bacterial SSU rRNA". It matches the Rfam family "Bacterial small subunit ribosomal RNA", at positions 355 to 825 of the family's 1533-position model. The record is from RNAcentral.